CGCCCUAGUUCUGACCGUAAACGAUGCCAACUAGCGAUCCGCCGAUGGAGAUUAUAAUUGCCUUGGUGGGGAGCUUCCCGGAAACGAAAGUCUUCCGGUUCCGGGGGAAGUAUGGUUGCAAAGCUGAAACUUAAAGGAAUUGACGGAAGGGCACCACCAGGAGUGGAGCCUGCGKSUUAAUUUGACUCAACACGGGAAAACUCACCCGGCCCGGACACUGUGAGGAUUGACAGAUUGAUAGCUUUUUCAUGAUUCAGUGGAUGGUGGUGCAUGGCCGUUCUUAGUUCGUGGAGUGAUUUGUCUGGUUUAUUCCGAUAACGAGCGAGACUCUAACCUACUAAAUAGUUGAUAUUUUUUUAUAAGAGUAUACAACUUCUUAGAGGGAUUUGCGGUGUUUAGCCGAAAGAAAUUGAGCAAUAACAGGUCUGUGAUGCCCUUAGAUGUCCGGGGCUGCACGCGCGCUACACUGGCAAAAUCAACGUGCUUGUCCUUCCCCGAAAGGGGCGGGUAAACCAUUGAAAAUUUGCCGUGAUUGGGAUCGGAAAUUGCAAUUAUUUUCCGUGAACGAGGAAUUCCAAGUAAGUGCGAGUCAUCAGCUCGCGUUGAUUACGU
Molecule: ribosomal RNA, 612 nt
Filed under: Meloidogyne naasi
Lineage: Eukaryota; Metazoa; Nematoda; Chromadorea; Rhabditida; Meloidogynidae
Description: SSU rRNA
Rfam family: Eukaryotic small subunit ribosomal RNA
Source: RNAcentral